GAUCUGGUCAGGACGAACGCUGGCGGCGUGCCUAACACAUGCAAGUCGAACGGAGUCAAGAAGCUUGCUUUUGACUUAGUGGCGGACGGGUGAGUAACGCGUGAGUAACCUGCCUCUGAGAGGGGAAUAACGUUCUGAAAAGAACGCUAAUACCGCAUAACGUAUCGAAGCCGCAUGACUUUGAUACCAAAGAUUUUAUCGCUCGGAGAUGGACUCGCGUCCGAUUAGUUAGUUGGUGAGGUAACGGCUCACCAAGACCGCGAUCGGUAGCCGGACUGAGAGGUUGAUCGGCCACAUUGGGACUGAGACACGGCCCAGACUCCUACGGGAGGCAGCAGUGGGGGAUAUUGCGCAAUGGGGGCAACCCUGACGUAGCAACGCCGCGUGAAGGAUGAAGGUUUUCGGAUUGUAAACUUCUUUUAUCAGGGACGAAAUCUGACGGUACCUGAUGAAUAAGCUCCGGCUAACUACGUGCCAGCCGCAGC
Molecule: ribosomal RNA, 485 nt
Filed under: uncultured bacterium
Lineage: Bacteria
Description: bacterial SSU rRNA
Rfam family: Bacterial small subunit ribosomal RNA
Source: RNAcentral